GCUCCGCGCCCGUCCCCGCCGCCAGCCCCGGCUGAAGCUCCCGGGAAGCCGACCGAAAGCCAGCAAACCCUCACUCCGGGGCGCUCGCCCCUAUUUACCUCCAAGGCGCCGAGGCCACCUUCGCAAGUGGAAGGGAACCCGCCGCGAACCGGGCACCGCCGCGGCCUGGCAGCGGGGCAUCCCCACUGCGGGCCGGGCCCGGCCCGGCUCCCACCGCCCCAGCGGGGAGCGGGGGAAGGCGGCGCCUUUUUACCUCAGGUUUUGGCGGGGGAAGCGGCGCCGACCCCACCCGGGGAGCCCCGUCACCCUCCCCGCGCCGCCGGCCGGAGGCACCGCGGCGGUCCCGGCGCUGUGAGCGGGCGGCACCGCCCCGCCGCUCCCCCGACCCGGACCCCGUACCUGCGCCCGCGGUGCCCGCCGGUGGCUCGCCGUCCAUCGCGGCAGCAGUCAUGUGAGGCCGCGGCCCCGCGGCCGCCCUCCCCUUCCUCCGCAGCGCCCGCCUGUCAGCGCGGGCGGAGCGGGCGGGGUGCGGCCGCCUCCCGGGGACGGCGCGGACGGGGCUGCGCUUGUGGUCACGGUGCCGGGGUGGGCUCGGGCCGGGGGACGUGACAAACGGCAGCGCCAGUGACAGCGCCUCACGGUAACGUCCCCGGGGAGGCCGCUCACCGCAACUCCCGGCGGCUCUGGGGGCUCAAGGCUGCUUCCUCCCGCUCGGAGAGGCAACGAGCCGUCCCUGCUGUGGAGCGGGCUGCUCGGAGCGCUCCUAAACCGCUUCGGGUUCGUAAUAAACGUUUCAAACAUCGUAAAGCAUGGGAAAAGAUGUGACCCGCUCAUGGGCUUAAUACGGACUUUAUUCUGAAAUCAAAUUGAUUUUUUUCCCCAACUGAAAAGUGGAAAGGGUGGUUGUUGGGAACAUGAACUGCAGGCGGAUUUCAUUGUGCACUAUGAAAAGUGGAUAAAUUGUUGGAAGAGGUGGUAAGACAGUCCUUCCAUCACCUGGUGAUGGAUGGGAGGCCAUCCUUUGUAUGUCAAAGUCAGAUGAGAUAGUCCAAGAUAAUUUUCCUUCACUGAGUAACCUUUUCCCACCUUGAAUUUCUGCUGCCAUCUCAUCAAUCAAUCAGGGUGUUUCCUAUACUCAAUAUUUUUGAUAUUCUGGAUCUCAUUUAGAUAUAUGAAAUAUUCUUGAUAAGUUAAAAGUAGAUAUUCGAUGUUUCUCCAAAGGAAAAACCAUUGUAGCAUUUUUUACAAGGCUCCGUAGGGACAGGACAAGGUGAAAUGGGUUUAAACUGAAAAAGGGUAGAUUUAUAUGAGAUAUAAGGAAGAAAUACUUUUACUAUGAGGGUGCUGAGGGGCUGGCACAGGGUGCCCAGAGAAGCUGUGGCUGCCCCAUCCCUGGCAGUGUUCAAGGCCAGGUUGGACACAGGGGCUUGGAGCAACCUGCUCUAGUGGAAGGUGUCCCUGCGCAUGGCAGGGGGGCUGGAGCUGGGUGAGCUUUAAGGUCGUUUUCAACCCAAA
Molecule: long non-coding RNA, 1515 nt
Filed under: Strigops habroptila (Kakapo)
Lineage: Eukaryota; Metazoa; Chordata; Aves; Psittaciformes; Psittacidae
Description: lncRNA (ENSSHBG00005005016.1)
Source: RNAcentral